RNAcentral lists this ribosomal RNA (598 nucleotides) under Lycogala sp. Its description in RNAcentral is "partial small subunit ribosomal RNA". It matches the Rfam family "Eukaryotic small subunit ribosomal RNA", at positions 14 to 516 of the family's 1831-position model. The record is from RNAcentral. Lineage: Eukaryota; Evosea; Eumycetozoa; Liceales; Enteridiidae.
CUGCCAGAAUUCAUAUGCUUGUCCUGAAGAUUAAGCCAUGCAUGCCUCGAUAAAUGGGCCGCCAAGGUGCAUUUAAUGCACCUUGCCCGCCAUAGGAAUCAGCGAACGGCUCCGUAUAUAUGUUGUAACGUAUCGUGACAAACAGGGCGUGGAGAUGUACGGAAAAGCUGUACAGGAUAUAAACACUUUGCAUUCACUCGAGACGGAAGUUAAGUACGUUGAGACUGGAUGGGUCGGCCGCCAUGCCAUUAUGUAGGUCGCCAUGCCUUCAGCCCUAGCAAUACUCAAUGUUCUAACACUCAAGGAUCCCCCUGUAAUGGGGGGCUAGUUGUGCUUGUUAGUCUGUGGCCUCUUAGUUAUAAAGAGGAACCGAAUGUACACGAUCGGCUUCAUACCUAUCAGUUAGAUGGUGGGGUAUUGGCCCACCAUGACUAUAACGGGUACAGAGGACUAGGGUUUGGUCCUGGAGAGGUAGCCUGAGAAAUCGCUACCACUUCUAUGGAAGGCAGCAGGCGCGUAACGUUCCCAAUGCAAGGAGAGUGAGGACGAUAAAAGGACAUAACAAUGCCACUUAAGAUUAAGCUGGCAAUUGAUAAUG